CAGAUCAAGGAGAGAGAGAGAGAGUGAGAAAACGAGCUCUAGCCCACCACCGUCCACCUUUUCCGUCUCCGGCGCCGAUUCCGGCCAAAUCUGGCCAAAAUUUUUACACCAUUCUCUUCCUCUCUUCAUGGGCUUUCUAUUGAUAUAUUUCAAGACCUAUCAUCAAGUGUGCGCGACGAAUCGAUGGAGAGAAGAUUGAGUGAUUUUCCGACUAUUUUUCAAAUUCCGGCCAAACCAUUGAGAAUUUGGAGAAACCCCAAGGUAAUUCGGUUGAGCAAGCUUUCGAGGAUAUUCCCGAGACGGGACUUACCUAGUCACCCUUCAUUGUUAGCAUUGCAGAGGUCGGAUCAAUAUCCACGUCAAAGGCGUACAUCCACUUGAUCUUCUUGACCUUCUGACAUCAGUCGUAUAGUUUACUUAGUAAUAGUUCUUAUGUUAAUUAGAGGAGUUUUGAGAGGCCAUAAGUAAAUUGAGGUGUAUUGAAAUUUGAUGUAAAUAUUGGACGAGAGACACUUUGAUU
Rosa chinensis is the source of this 520-nucleotide long non-coding RNA. RefSeq lists it as uncharacterized. Lineage: Eukaryota; Viridiplantae; Streptophyta; Magnoliopsida; Rosales; Rosaceae. The transcript has 3 exons. The record is from RefSeq and is a predicted model, not a curated record.